CUUGGAAAUCGUGAGCGUCUUCUUGCUUUCUGUGAGGCUGUGCAGAGGAGCUCCCCAGUCGGUUCAUUUACUAAACCAAUUGCUGGCACAACUCCUGGAUAUGCAUCAGAGGUGAUAUUUGCUGAUGGAACAUUUGUUGAUGGGAGUACAAGUGAGCUUUCAUGUGAUGGACCAUUAAGAGAGCCAUUCGCUGUAUUUUGCCAGGGUGGCUCCCAUUGGACUCAGUGGGGACUAGUUCUUGGAGAGGUUUUAAAAGCCAUAUAAUGUAGAACGAAGAUUUUCCAAUGAGGACAGCUGACAGCACGAUUAUGGAAUGGAAUGUUGAUAUGGAAGUUAUUGAUUUCUAAGUUUGCAAAGCAAGAAGUAUGGUAUGGCAGUCUCAAGAUAUGUCCUUGCCGCAAUUGCUCAAAAUACAGCAGCAGUGGCAUUUCACAUCAUUUUUUCGAAAGAAGGAAACAGCCUUCCUGAUCC
Long non-coding RNA from Rosa rugosa (rugosa rose), 471 nucleotides. RefSeq lists it as uncharacterized. Lineage: Eukaryota; Viridiplantae; Streptophyta; Magnoliopsida; Rosales; Rosaceae. The transcript is spliced from 3 exons. The record is from RefSeq and is a predicted model, not a curated record.